AUGUGCUGUGGGCACCUCAGGAUCCAGCGCAUAGCCUCUUACAGUGCAGGGAGAAGUGUCACUGGGACACGCCGGGACUGGGGACACUGGCAGGCACUGGGACACACAGGGACUGGGGACACGGGCAGGCACUGGGACACACAGGGACUGGGGACACGGGCAGCCACUGGGACACACAGGGACUGGGGACACAGGCAGGCACUGGGACACACAAGGACUGGGGACACACAGAAAGACACUGGGAUAGACAGGGACUAGGGACACAUUAGAUUCACUUUUCAGGUUUUGCAAGAUCCCACUUCUAAAUGUUUUUAAGGAAUAUAAAAACAAAAUGAUAAUUAUUGUUCUCAGAUGAAUAUGUAUUUACUUCCCAGUCCCUGAUUCAAAUCGAAUAAAGAUUUGGAUCAUCAUUGUAUUUCCACUUUGGAUGUUAUCUCUGAGUUAGUAUAACCUAUAUUUUUUAACUUUGUAUCAUUUUACAUUAAAAAAAGUAUUCUAUUGGUGUUUUAGAGCUUAAGAAAUAAGGUAAGUGCAGGCAGUAUUCUGCAGUCUGAGUGCCUUAAAAAGAAAAUUAAAAAAUAUUAUUGCUGUUGUUGUAAUUGACAGGCGUGUUUGUGGUUUUAUAUUACAGACUGGUGUGUCGCUUAUUGUCGUGUAUAUAUAGAUACAAACUUGAUUUUCAUCUUUGUUGAAAGCACUAUUAAGAAAGGAGAAUUUUUGUAGCGCCAAUCCGUCACAAGAGGACGCCACAAUACAGGUUUGGCAUCAAAUGUGGGCUGUAAUCACUGCAGCAGGAACCAGUGUGUAAGUAGCCUUGUUAGAAUGAACAUAGACCUUAUGUAUCAGAUGUGUUUAAUCUUACAGGUAGGUGUAUCGUCUAUGUCAGUGGUCCCCACCCACAUUGUCUGCUGGUUUUCAGUCCAGCUAAGCUCUACAUCUCAAGUGGCUAAUUAAUAAUAAUAAUAAUAAUAAU
This 973-nucleotide long non-coding RNA is filed under the name Lepisosteus oculatus (spotted gar). RNAcentral describes it as "lncRNA (ENSLOCG00000022653.1)". The record is from RNAcentral. Lineage: Eukaryota; Metazoa; Chordata; Actinopteri; Semionotiformes; Lepisosteidae.